CACGUAGGAGGCGAGCGUUGUCCGGAAUCAUUGGGCGUAAAGAGCGCGCAGGCGGCUUGGCAAGUCGGGUGUGAAAUCCCGGGGCUCAACCCCGUGACUGCAUCCGAUACUGUCAGGCUAGAGGUAGGUAGGGGAGAUCGGAAUUCCUGGUGUAGCAGUGAAAUGCGUAGAUAUCAGGAGGAAUACCGAUGGCGAAGGCAGGUCUCUGGGCUGACACUGACGCUCAUGCACGAAAGCGUGGGGAGCAAACAGG
RNAcentral lists this ribosomal RNA (253 nucleotides) under uncultured bacterium. Its description in RNAcentral is "partial 16S ribosomal RNA". It matches the Rfam family "Bacterial small subunit ribosomal RNA", at positions 524 to 776 of the family's 1533-position model. The record is from RNAcentral.